CAUAAUUUCAAUUUUCAUUUUAGAUUCUGGAGGUACAUGUGCAGGUUUGUUACAUGGUUAUAUUUUGUGAUGCUGUGGUUUGGGAUACAAAUGAUCCUGUCAUCCAGCAGUGAGCAUAGUAC
Molecule: long non-coding RNA, 122 nt
Organism: Sapajus apella (tufted capuchin)
Lineage: Eukaryota; Metazoa; Chordata; Mammalia; Primates; Cebidae
Exons: 3
Source: RefSeq, a predicted model, not a curated record